UACGGAGGGGGCUAGCGUUGUUCGGAAUUACUGGGCGUAAAGCGCGCGUAGGCGGACCUGCAAGUCGGGGGUGAAAGCCCGAGGCUCAACCUCGGAACUGCCUUCGAUACUGCGGGUCUCGAGUCCGGGAGAGGUGAGUGGAAUUCCCAGUGUAGCGGUGAAAUGCGUAGAUAUUGGGAGGAACACCAGUGGCGAAGGCGGCUACCUGGACCGGUUCUGACGCUGAGGCGCGAAAGCGUGGGUAGCAAACAGG
Molecule: ribosomal RNA, 253 nt
Filed under: uncultured bacterium
Lineage: Bacteria
Description: partial 16S ribosomal RNA
Rfam family: Bacterial small subunit ribosomal RNA
Source: RNAcentral